CCUACGGGAGGCAGCAGUGAGGAAUAUUGGUCAAUGGGCGCGAGCCUGAACCAGCCAAGUAGCGUGAAGGAUGACUGCCCUACGGGUUGUAAACUUCUUUUAUAAGGGAAUAAAGUGAGGCACGUGUGCCUUUUUGUAUGUACUUUAUGAAUAAGCAUCGGCUAACUCCGUGCCAGCGGCCGCGGUCAUACGGAGGAUCCGAGCGUUAUCCGGAUUUAGUGGGUUUAAAGGGAGGGUAGGUGGGUUGUUAAGUCAGUGGGGAAAGUUUGCGGCGCAACCGUAAAAUUGCAAUUGAUACUGGUAGACUUGAGUACAGGUGAGGUAGGUGGAAUUCGUGGUGUAGCGGUGAAAUGCUUAGAUAUCACGAAGAACUCCGAUUGCGAAGGCAGCUUACUAAACUGCCACUGACAUUGAGGCUCGAAAGUGUGGGUAUCAAACAGGAUUAGAUACCCUGGUAGUC
This 460-nucleotide ribosomal RNA is filed under the name uncultured bacterium. Its description in RNAcentral is "partial 16S ribosomal RNA". It matches the Rfam family "Bacterial small subunit ribosomal RNA", at positions 338 to 795 of the family's 1533-position model. The record is from RNAcentral.